GGUGAUGAGCUAACAGCAGCUACAGCUGUCAGCAGUUUACUUCACUGUCCAUCAUAAACUCUGUAAAUCACAGAGAGUUGAGGCGGAGCAGCCUCCAUGAAGACGAUGAUGUUCGGGCUCCGUGUUGAUCCACCUGUGAUUGAACGGAAGUAUUUACCCACAGGAAUACAGCCCAGGAAGAAACACGGGCAGACGUGCACCAUUCUUCACAUGGGAUGGAAAUCAAGGACCGCUGGUGCAAAGGGUGAAGGUUGAGUCCAGAUGAUCUAAAAAGUCAGCAUGGAUCGAAGGAUCGACACAGUGAGCUCUCAGUGUGGUUGAUGGUUCAUGAUGAAGAAGGAGUCGUACACCGUGGUGAGGUGAGGGCUGACUGGUGUUGGACAAGAGAGGAGGAGUUAAAAAGCAGGGUGGGCUCGGCUGAGGAGGAGAGGAGCAGAGAGGGAGGGCUGAGGCCAGCAC
Larimichthys crocea (large yellow croaker) is the source of this 459-nucleotide long non-coding RNA. RefSeq lists it as uncharacterized. The transcript is spliced from 4 exons. The record is from RefSeq and is a predicted model, not a curated record. NCBI's taxonomy places the organism in Eukaryota, Metazoa, Chordata, Actinopteri, Sciaenidae.